This 392-nucleotide ribosomal RNA is filed under the name Tamias sibiricus (Siberian chipmunk). RNAcentral's name for it is "12S ribosomal RNA". It matches the Rfam family "Bacterial small subunit ribosomal RNA", at positions 794 to 1380 of the family's 1533-position model. Lineage: Eukaryota; Metazoa; Chordata; Mammalia; Rodentia; Sciuridae. The record is from RNAcentral.
GCUUAGCCCUAAACAUAAAUACUCAAUAAACAAGGUAUUCGCCAGAGUACUACUAGCAACAGCCUAAAACUCAAAGGACUUGGCGGUGCUUUACACCCCUCUAGAGGAGCCUGUUCUAUAAUCGAUAAACCCCGCUUAACCUUACCACCCCUUGCAACAUCAGCCUAUAUACCGCCAUCUUCAGCAAACCCUAUUAAGGUAGUAUAGUAAGCACAAUAAUUUAACACUAAUACGUUAGGUCAAGGUGUAGCCUAUGAGGUGGGAAGAAAUGGGCUACAUUUUCUACUCUACUAGAACAACACUCACGAUAACUUUCAUGAAACACUGAAAGUCAAAGGCGGAUUUAGUAGUAAGUUAGGAAUAGAGAGCCUAACUGAAUAGGGCAAUAAAGC